CCUACGGGUGGCAGCAGUGGGGAAUAUUGGACAAUGGGGGGAACCCUGAUCCAGCCAUGCCGCGUGUGUGAAGAAGGCCCUCGGGUUGUAAAGCACUUUCAGUGAGGAAGAACGCCUGGUGGUUAAUACCCAUCAGGAAAGACAUCACUCACAGAAGAAGCACCGGCUAACUCCGUGCCAGCAGCCGCGGUAAUACGGAGGGUGCGAGCGUUAAUCGGAAUUACUGGGCGUAAAGCGCGCGUAGGUGGCUUGAUAAGCCGGUUGUGAAAGCCCCGGGCUCAACCUGGGAACGGCAUCCGGAACUGUCAAGCUAGAGUGCAGGAGAGGAAGGUAGAAUUCCCGGUGUAGCGGUGAAAUGCGUAGAGAUCGGGAGGAAUACCAGUGGCGAAGGCGGCCUUCUGGACUGACACUGACACUGAGGUGCGAAAGCAUGGGUAGCAAACAGGAUUAGAUACCCGAGUAGUC
This 465-nucleotide ribosomal RNA is filed under the name Vreelandella stevensii. RNAcentral describes it as "partial 16S ribosomal RNA". It matches the Rfam family "Bacterial small subunit ribosomal RNA", at positions 338 to 795 of the family's 1533-position model. Lineage: Bacteria; Pseudomonadati; Pseudomonadota; Gammaproteobacteria; Oceanospirillales; Halomonadaceae. The record is from RNAcentral.